AGCGAACGCUGGCGGCAGGCCUAACACAUGCAAGUCGAACGAACCUUUCGGGGUUAGUGGCGGACGGGUGAGUAACACGUGGGAACGUGCCUUUAGGUUCGGAAUAACUCAGGGAAACUUGUGCUAAUACCGAAUGUGCCCUUCGGGGGAAAGAUUAAUCGCCUUUAGAGCGGCCCGCGUCUGAUUAGCUAGUUGGUUGAGGUAAUGGCUCACCAAGGCGACGAUCAGUAGCUGGUCUGAGAGGAUGAUCAGCCACAUUGGGACUGAGACACGGCCCAAACUCCUACGGGAGGCAGCAGUGGGGAAUCUUGCGCAAUGGGCGAAAGCCUGAUGCAGCAACGCCGCGUGCGGGAUGACGGCCUUCGGGUUGUAAACCGCUUUCGCCUGUGACGAAGCGUGAGUGACGGUAAUGGGUAAAGAAGCACCGGCUAACUACGUG
RNAcentral lists this ribosomal RNA (439 nucleotides) under uncultured bacterium. RNAcentral's name for it is "partial 16S ribosomal RNA". It matches the Rfam family "Bacterial small subunit ribosomal RNA", at positions 29 to 507 of the family's 1533-position model. The record is from RNAcentral.